RNAcentral lists this ribosomal RNA (270 nucleotides) under uncultured soil bacterium. RNAcentral describes it as "partial 16S ribosomal RNA". It matches the Rfam family "Bacterial small subunit ribosomal RNA", at positions 26 to 285 of the family's 1533-position model. The record is from RNAcentral.
AGAAUCAACGCUGGCGGCGUGCCUAACACAUGCAAGUCGAACGCGAAAGGGGAGCAAUCCCUGAUUAGAGUGGCAAACGGGUGAGUAACACGUGGGUGACCUGCCUUCGAGUGGGGGAUAACCUUCCGAAAGGAGGGCUAAUACCGCAUGACAUACCGUGUUUGGAUACACGGAUAUCAAAGCCGGGGAUCGCAAGACCUGGCGCUUGAAGAGGGGCCCGCGUCCGAUUAGCUAGUUGGUGGGUAACGCUCACCAAGGCUCCGAUCGGUA